CAGUAGCCGCGGGAAUACGAAGGGUGCAAGCGUUACUCGGAAUUACUGGGCGUAAAGCGUGCGUAGGUGGUGGUUUAAGUCCGUUGUGAAAGCCCUGGGCUCAACCUGGGAAUUGCAGUGGAUACUGGAUCACUAGAGUGUGGUAGAGGAUAGUGGAAUUUCCGGUGUAGCAGUGAGAUGCGUAGAGAUCGGAAGGAACAUCUGUGGCGAAGGCGACUAUCUGGGCCAACACUGACACUGAGGCACGAAAGCGUGGGGAGCAAACAGGAUUAGAUACCCCAGUAGUCCCUGUCUCUUAUAC
RNAcentral lists this ribosomal RNA (301 nucleotides) under uncultured bacterium. Its description in RNAcentral is "partial 16S ribosomal RNA". It matches the Rfam family "Bacterial small subunit ribosomal RNA", at positions 509 to 807 of the family's 1533-position model. The record is from RNAcentral.